CCUACGGGGGACAGCAGUGAGGAAUAUUGGUCAAUGGUCGGGAGACUGAACCAGCCAAGCCGCGUGAGGGAUGAAGGUACAGAGUAUCGUAAACCUCUUUUGUCAGGGAAUAAAGGGGGGCACGUGUGCCCUGUUGAGUGUACUUGAAGAAAAAGCAUCGGCUAACUCCGUGCCAGCAGCCGCGGUAAUACGGAGGAUGCGAGCGUUAUCCGGAUUUGUUGGGUUUAAAGGGUGCGUAGGAUGUGAGGUAAGUCAGCGGUGAAAUGCUCGCGCUUAACGGGUUGAAGUGCAAUUGAUACUGGCAGGCUUGAGUACAGUUGCGGUAGGAGGAAUGUGUGGUGUAGCGGUGAAAUGCAUAGAUAUCACACAGAACACCGAUUGCGAAGGCAGCUCACGAAGCCGCGAUUGACACUGAUGCACGAAAGCGUGGGUAUCAAACAGGAUUAGAUACCCGAGUAGUC
RNAcentral lists this ribosomal RNA (461 nucleotides) under uncultured bacterium. RNAcentral describes it as "partial 16S ribosomal RNA". It matches the Rfam family "Bacterial small subunit ribosomal RNA", at positions 338 to 795 of the family's 1533-position model. The record is from RNAcentral.